Molecule: long non-coding RNA, 1436 nt
Filed under: Bos indicus x Bos taurus (hybrid cattle)
Lineage: Eukaryota; Metazoa; Chordata; Mammalia; Artiodactyla; Bovidae
Description: lncRNA (ENSBIXG00000022563.1)
Source: RNAcentral
GUCAGACUGAGUCCUUCCCACACACUGCACUGACCUCUUCGGCUGCCCCUCGUUCACUUUUAGGUGGAGCCUUACACCUGUGAUCACACCAGGGCCCCGGAUAGUCUGAGAUAUUGUCCACCUCAGGGUCACUGGACCAGCACCCUGGAUUCCACAUUCCUGGUUCCUGGCAUCAGGACAUGGACUCGAGGGGCAUUCAUCUGCAGCCCUGGAGGAAGGCUCGAGGCACAGCCCUUGGUGAGCCGUGGGAGCCUGGGCCCUGGAGCUCCUGAGUGCCAGCUGCAGUUAGCUUCUUCCACUUGCUCAGUGGGACUGGCGGGUGAGGAGGUGGGCUUCUGGGAGGACGGCCUGGGGGCGCCACAUGAGCCUGCACAGGGUCCAGGUUUGCGGUCACCCAACAGUGCUGCCAGUGGAGCUUCGGUUUGGAUCUUGAUGCAAAAGUUUCCUUCAGCGCCACACCAGAGCCAUCGAUGGACCGGGGAAGCCUGUGGGAGUGGGACAGAGGCACGGCUAAGGAGACAAGCCCACACCAGGCGGGUGAGGUGCCCACAUCCAACCCAGCGCUUGACCACACACCGCACUGGACCUCACCUCUGGGGAAGGUCACAUGGCUCAGGGCCUUGGAGGCGAACCCUCUGCUGCCUCCUGGAACGGGUCCUCUGCCUUUGGGGGCUUAGCUUCCCCCUGGUUCAGACAAUGGCUGUUAACAGCCGGCUGUUAACCAGGACAGAUGGAUGGACGGACUGAUGGCUGGGUUCCUGGAGCAACAUUGGUGGGAAGAUUCUUCUUCUGAAACAAACACUCAGGCUCUCAGAAGGUGGAACGCAAUUGGCCCUAGCUUCAUCCUGGCUGUAAGUUGAUUUCUCAUUCUUUAAGAUUUCAUCUAAAGCCCAUAAUUACUUCCCUGAAUAGGCUUUUAUACCCUAAAUGGCCAGGCAUCAUAUCCCCGGUCCUUUAUCUUGAUUAGAAAUGAACCCCAUAUUUUAGUACAUUUGCCGGCCAGCCCCUCACCUGCUGAAUCAGCCGUCCGAACACAGCGCUUGUAGCCAUAAGCCCUUCCGUUCGGGAAACAGUCACCCACGUGGCCGCCAAGCCCAGCCUCAGCCCUGUGUCCAGUUGCAGAACUGAGCAUGCCCCUCCUCCCUGCUGGCCCCACAGCUUCUCUCUGGAGGCAGAAGCCCAGCCGUGGGGUCUGGUUUGGGAAGGUCGGAAGGAUGAGGCAUGCUGACCGCAGGAGUCAAGCCAACAGGAAAGACAUCCCGUUUCCAUGGCACCCCCGGUUUCAGGCGUCCUCACACCCAUUUGUAGAAGGAGCAUGACGUCAGCUGGCCCUUGGGGCCAAUGGGCUUCCUCUGGAGGGGAGCUGGCUUCUUUGGAAGGUCCUGGCAGGACACGGAGACAGGGCUCAGGGGACCCCGCCUGGGCCUCUAAUGCAG